GACGAACGCUGGCGGCGUGCUUAACACAUGCAAGUCGAACGGAAAGGCCCUGCUUUUGUGGGGUGCUCGAGUGGCGAACGGGUGAGUAACACGUGAGUAACCUGCCCUUGACUUUGGGAUAACUUCAGGAAACUGGGGCUAAUACCGGAUAGGAGCUCCUGCUGCAUGGUGGGGGUUGGAAAGUUUCGGCGGUUGGGGAUGGACUCGCGGCUUAUCAGCUUGUUGGUGGGGUAGUGGCUUACCAAGGCUUUGACGGGUAGCCGGCCUGAGAGGGUGACCGGCCACAAUGGGACUGAGAUACGGACCAGACUCGUACGGGCGGCAGCAGUGGAAAAUAUUGCACAAUGGGCGGACGCCUGAUGCAGCAGCGUCGCGUGCGGGAUGACGGCCUUCGGGUUGUAAACCGCUUUCGCCUGUGACGAAGCGUGCGUGACGGUAAUGAGUCAAGAAGCACCGGCUAACUACGUG
This 468-nucleotide ribosomal RNA is filed under the name uncultured bacterium. RNAcentral describes it as "partial 16S ribosomal RNA". It matches the Rfam family "Bacterial small subunit ribosomal RNA", at positions 28 to 507 of the family's 1533-position model. The record is from RNAcentral.